Molecule: long non-coding RNA, 976 nt
Organism: Pogoniulus pusillus (Red-fronted tinkerbird)
Lineage: Eukaryota; Metazoa; Chordata; Aves; Piciformes; Lybiidae
Exons: 2
Source: RefSeq, a predicted model, not a curated record
UGUGACUUGAUGAUCUCUGGAGGUCCCUUCCAACCCCUAACAUCCUAUGAUCCCGACACCUUCACAAAAACAACAAAUAAGCAUUAAAAAGAAACAAACAAACAAACAAACAAAAAAAAACCCAACCACUGCUCAGGGAGAAGAAAGAAGCAUGAAGGAAAGAAAACAAAAUUUAAAAAAAAAAAAAAAGGUAUGUGUGUUUUAAAUAACUUUUUUAAUUGUUGAGGCAGUAAUACUUGGUUCAUGGAACUGCAAUAUACAGAGAGGUGAAAUAAAUAGCUUAUAUAUAUAUAAUAUAUAUAAUAUAGCUGGUUUUAAAAUAUUCCCUUAUCAUUGGUGUACUAGGUCAUCUUGUAGUCACUUGAAUGUAGUUAGCAGCAUUCUCCAGAACUGAGCACAAUGCAGGAUCACGGAGCCGUGACACCUUAUGUCGUCAGAAAGGUUACAGAAGAUCGAUGCGUCGAGAACUCCACGGGAACUCAAUCACUGCGGCACAAACCAUCUUGUCGCGGGGCCGGCGUGCAGCAGACAAUAAAUAGGUGACUGCCAAACCGGCACUUUCCAGGGAGAGCCAGGAUCAGCACAGAACUGGAGGCCAAAAGCUGCUGAGAGUAAGUGCUGAUCCCCAACCACCCGGCAGCAAAAUGCCCACCCUGCUGGGACCCUUUUUCUGAUGCAACCACUGAGUUUGGCUCACAGUUUGACAGAGUUUGGCUCAGUUUGAAGAUCUGGACUAAAAGAUCCAGAACUUAGGUUUCAAUGCAGUAAGCAUCUGGAUUUGGGACUCUAUACAGUACUUGUGACAUGGGAAGGAGUUGCAGCAUUACCCAACAACAUCUUUAAGUUCUUCAUCAUCGAGGACAUUCUUCCCACCUAUAAUCUUCCACCAGAAAACAAGUUUUGUUCUUUAACUACUGAGUUACUGAUGCUGCACCUAGAACACCAUGUUGUUGUGUGCACCAGCACUUUGUGUUUU